GACGAACGCUGGCGGCGUGCCUAAUACAUGCAAGUAGAACGCUGAAGGAGGAGCUUGCUUCUCUGGAUGAGUUGCGAACGGGUGAGUAACGCGUAGGUAACCUGCCUGGUAGCGGGGGAUAACUAUUGGAAACGAUAGCUAAUACCGCAUAAUAGUAGAUGUUGCAUGACAUUUGCUUAAAAGGUGCAAUUGCAUCACUACCAGAUGGACCUGCGUUGUAUUAGCUAGUUGGUGGGGUCACGGCUCACCAAGGCGACGAUACAUAGCCGACCUGAGAGGGGGAUCGGCCACACUGGGACUGAGACACGGCCCAGACUCCUAAGGGAGGCAGCAGGAGGGAAUCUUCGGAAAUGGACGGAAGUCUGACCGAGCAACGCCGCGGGAGUGAAGAAGGGUGUCGGAUCGUAAAGCUCUGUUGUAAGAGAAGAACGAGUGUGAGAGUGGAAAGUUCACACUGUGACGGUAUCUUAACAGAAAGGGACGGCUAACUACGUG
RNAcentral lists this ribosomal RNA (495 nucleotides) under uncultured bacterium. RNAcentral describes it as "partial 16S ribosomal RNA". It matches the Rfam family "Bacterial small subunit ribosomal RNA", at positions 28 to 507 of the family's 1533-position model. The record is from RNAcentral.